This 434-nucleotide ribosomal RNA is filed under the name uncultured Pseudomonas sp. RNAcentral's name for it is "bacterial SSU rRNA". It matches the Rfam family "Bacterial small subunit ribosomal RNA", at positions 948 to 1382 of the family's 1533-position model. The record is from RNAcentral. Lineage: Bacteria; Pseudomonadati; Pseudomonadota; Gammaproteobacteria; Pseudomonadales; Pseudomonadaceae.
AAUUCGAAGCAACGCGAAGAACUUACCAGGCCUUGACAUGCAGAGAACUUUCCAGAGAUGGAUUGGUGCCUUCGGGAACUCUGACACAGGUGCUGCAUGGCUGUCGUCAGUCUCGUGUCGUGAGAUGUUGGGUUAAGUCCGUAACGAGCGCAACCCUUGUCCUUAGUUACCAGCACGUUAUGGUGGGCACUCUAAGGAGACUGCCGGUGACAAACCGGAGGAAGGUGGGGAUGACGUCAAGUCAUCAUGGCCCUUACGGCCUGGGCUACACACGUGCUACAAUGGUCGGUACAAAGGGUUGCCAAGCCGCGAGGUGGAGCUAAUCCCAUAAAACCGAUCGUAGUCCGGAUCGCAGUCUGCAACUCGACUGCGUGAAGUCGGAAUCGCUAGUAAUCGUGAAUCAGAAUGUCACGGUGAAUACGUUCCCGGGCCUU